This is a long non-coding RNA of Carcharodon carcharias (great white shark), 522 nucleotides long. RefSeq lists it as uncharacterized. The record is from RefSeq and is a predicted model, not a curated record. Lineage: Eukaryota; Metazoa; Chordata; Chondrichthyes; Lamniformes; Lamnidae. The transcript has 3 exons.
UGAAGGCCUCAAGGAGCAGAAAGAAUCACCACUCAUCUGAAUCUUAAAGGUUUGGGAUACCACUGUAGAGAGUGACACCUGUGCUGACGAUAUAUCUCUCAACCCUUCAAGUAAAGAGGGCAUUAGAGGAUGCUACUGUGACAGGAAGGAUAAGAUUUCCUGAACAUAUGCUGCCCAAGCUGAGAAGCGUGAUGUCCCACCAUCUAGAUUAAUAAAGCUACUUCAAGGGCAGCAAUGCAGCUGGAGGCAGAGAAAGCAGCUCUCCAGCAGAAGCUGGUGGAGUUUUCCGUGAUCAAUCAAGGCCUCCAGGAAAGAUUGGAGAAGCUAUCGAGGCUCAACUGCAGACUCCAGAACCAAUUUUUCAGCACCUGCACGCAGACCUGAGGACCACUGCAAUCGCUUGUGCGGACACUGCAACCCAUGACCAUGCCUCUCAGAGCAACAACCCUGCCCAGGCCUGCACAGAUUGAAGCUGUACCCGCAUUUAUUCGUACAGUUGGGGCAAGUGGACAUGCGGAGGUG